AGCAGAGAGCUGAGCAGAGAGCUGAGCACAGGGCUGGGCACAGGGCUGGGCAAAGAGCAGGGCACAGAGCUGAGCAGUGCUGGGCACAGAGCUGGGUAAAGAUCAGGGCACAGAGGUGGGCACAGGGCUGAGCACAGGGCUGGGCACAGGGCUGGGCAUAGAACUGAACACAGGGCUGGGCACAGGGCUGGGCAUAGAACUGAACACAGGGCUGGGCACAGGGCUGGGCACUGGGCACAGGGCUGAGCGCAGCGUUGCUUUCUGCCCGCAGUACGUGACGGUGAAGCCGAACCAGAAGCAGCUGCUGCGGGGGCUGUUUGUCCCCGAGUGCCCGGGCUGCGGCACCCCACAGCUGGAGCAGGCUGUGGGCAUCGUGGGGGCCGUCAUCAUGCCCCACAACAUGUACCUGCACUCCGCGCUCGUCAAGGUGAGCCGUGCAAUAGGGGGCAGCGCAGUAAGGAGCAGCACAGUGAGCAGUGCAGUAAGGAGCAGUGCAGUAAGCAGUGCAAUAAGGAGCAGUGCAGUAAGGAGCAGUGCAGUGAGCAGUGCAAUGAGCAGCAGUGCAAUAAGGAGCAGCAGCGCAGUGAGCAGCAGUGCAGUGAGCAGUGCAAUAAGGGGCAGUGCAGUGAGCAGCAGUGCAAUGAGGAGCAGCACAAUGAGCAGCAGUGCAGUAAGAAGCAGUGCAGUGAGCAGUGCAAUGAGGAGCAGCUUAAUAAGCAGUGCAGUAAGGAGCAGCGCAAUGAGGAGCAGAGCAAUGAGAAGCAGUGCAGUGAGGAGCAGCAGUGCAGUGAGCAGCAGUGCAGUGAGCAGCCGUGCAAUGAGCAGCCGUGCAAUGAGCAGCCAUGGGCUGCAGCAGGGAUGGGAGCUCGCAGCUGUGAGCUCUGCAGGUCAGCACUGUGUGCAGCCUUUCCCCAUGGCAGUGGGGUCCGUGCAAGCAAAGCUGCAGCUGCACCAGGCAGCAGCCGCAUGCAUGGGGGCAGGGCUCCCUGUGCACCCCCACACUUUGCACCCCCAACUCUGUGCACCCCCAACUCUGUGCACACCAUCACUCUGCACCUCCCUGUGUGCACCCCCACUCUGUGCACCCCCCCACUUUGCACCCACACUCUGUGCACCCCCCACUUUGCACCCUCACA
This 1136-nucleotide long non-coding RNA is filed under the name Phasianus colchicus (ring-necked pheasant). RNAcentral describes it as "lncRNA (ENSPCLG00000017062.1)". The record is from RNAcentral. Lineage: Eukaryota; Metazoa; Chordata; Aves; Galliformes; Phasianidae.